GCAGAAGAAACAGCCAGGUUCUGGAUAGUGAAAUUCACCAGUCCUAGAAAGUCUUUUAGUACUUAUUUUCUAUUUAUUCAGAGAUAUCCUUUGCUGCUAUGAUGGCGAUUAACAUUCUACUGCGCAUGUGGAGCCAGAGCCACAAAUGCCGCACAUCAGGAGCUGACAGUGAGCCAUACUGAUGCUGAUAUUCAGUGGACAAACCAUGACAGCUGUCUGUUCAGAGUGACCAGUUUUUAUGAAAAAGGCCACAUCUUCAUGACCAGAAAGAAUAAGCAAGAAUUGCCAUCUUGGCUGCAGAUCCUUCUUUGAGGAGGUGGAUCUCAUCCAUGCUUAGGACAUAUGGAGAGUGAAAUAAUAACUAAGCAAGGAUUUUCAAGGAUGCAAGGAUGAACUCCGAGCCAGCAUCAGGGAUUGUGCUUCAGAGUCAUGUUAUUACAGCAGCAGAUAAUCUAUUGCCAACUACUUAACUGUGAAGAAAACCUGUCACAGUUGGGAAGUGCCCACCAGAGACCAACGCAUCCCUGAAGCACUCUGUCUUUUUUAAAUAAGGGAUAAAUACAUUUCUUUAAUUUCUCACUCUCAUGGACUUUCCUUUUAUUCAUAAUUCUCCUAGUGAGUAGAAAAAUUUGUCUGGGGAUUCAGCUCCCAGAAUACUUGUAUUCCCCAAGAAGUGGU
Molecule: long non-coding RNA, 678 nt
Filed under: Numida meleagris (helmeted guineafowl)
Lineage: Eukaryota; Metazoa; Chordata; Aves; Galliformes; Numididae
Description: lncRNA (ENSNMEG00000020948.1)
Source: RNAcentral